RNAcentral lists this ribosomal RNA (407 nucleotides) under uncultured bacterium. Its description in RNAcentral is "bacterial SSU rRNA". It matches the Rfam family "Bacterial small subunit ribosomal RNA", at positions 355 to 776 of the family's 1533-position model. The record is from RNAcentral.
UGGGGGAUAUUGCACAAUGGAGGAAACUCUGAUGCAGCGACGCCGCGUGAGGGAAGAAGGUCUUCGGAUUGUAAACCUCUGUCUUUGGGGACGAAUAAAAUGACGGUACCCAAGGAGGAAGCCACGGCUAACUACGUGCCAGCAGCCGCGGUAAUACGUAGGUGGCAAGCGUUGUCCGGAUUUACUGGGUGUAAAGGGUGCGUAGGCGGGUUAUCAAGUUGGAUGUGAAAUCUCCGUGCUUAACGCGGAGGCUGCAUUCAAAACUGGUAAUCUUGAGUGAGGUAGAGGCAGGCGGAAUUCCCGGUGUAGCGGUGAAAUGCGUAGAGAUCGGGAGGAACACCAGUGGCGAAGGCGGCCUGCUGGGCCUUAACUGACGCUGAUGCACGAAAGCAUGGGUAGCAAACAGG